Long non-coding RNA from Chenopodium quinoa (quinoa), 174 nucleotides. RefSeq lists it as uncharacterized. The transcript is spliced from 3 exons. The record is from RefSeq and is a predicted model, not a curated record. NCBI's taxonomy places the organism in Eukaryota, Viridiplantae, Streptophyta, Magnoliopsida, Caryophyllales, Amaranthaceae.
CUAAGCCUUUUGGUAUAGUUGUUACUUCAACAAUGGUCAAAUAUUUUAAUGGAAAAAUUAAUCUAAAUACUUCUGCAUCAACCAAAAUUUAUAUUGAGCUUCAAAUUUCCGAGGUUGAUGAAUUGAAAUCUUUAUGGAGUGAGAAGUUAGAUAAUGCUACCAUUGGAAAACUUG